Molecule: long non-coding RNA, 589 nt
Organism: Gossypium arboreum
Lineage: Eukaryota; Viridiplantae; Streptophyta; Magnoliopsida; Malvales; Malvaceae
Exons: 2
Source: RefSeq, a predicted model, not a curated record
UGAAUACUUUACUCUUUUUAGCAAAUCCCUCCCAUACCGAAUAGACUGACUUUAAAUUUUAAAUUUCAGAUCUUGACAUUUCAGCAGUCAUGGAUAAUUAAUUCUCAUCUUAUGGAGCUCAUGGUUGUAAUCAAUAUCAGUCUAUAAAUAGUAAGCUACAAAACCCCAUUGUUGUCCAUCAUCAUCCUAUUGCCAUUCUCCAUACAAUUUGAAGAUUUGGGUUACUAUUAGCAUUUGGCCUUAAAAUGGCUUUAACUCAGGCAAAGAUAGUGCUGCUUUUCAUAGCUAUGAUGGUCCUCAUCUCAUCUGCUGCAGCUGCUGUUGCCCCUCAGGAUUUUAUCAUCAAACCUUCCAAUCUCGGAAGGAAGCUAUUAGCAAAGUAUUAUGGCACUCCCACUGCAUAUGCUGGUCGUAAUGGAGGGGGAGGCUAUCCAUGCUGUAAAUGAUAAAGACAUUGAUCUGUUGGGGAAAAAGAUCAUCUAUGUUGUUUGGAAAAUUUUCUUAAUAAAUGUCGAAGACAAAUGCAGUGUUGAAACCAUAAAUUCCUUUCACCAUACUAUAUUUAUCAAAUGAACAGAUACCUUUACCA